UGGGGGAUAUUGCACAAUGGGCGCAAGCCUGAUGCAGCGACGCCGCGUGGGGGAUGAAGGCCUUCGGGUUGUAAACUUCUUUUGCUCUGAACAAGGCGCACUUUGGGGUGUGUUGAGUGUAGGGGUUGAUUAGCGCCGGCUAACUACGUGCCAGCAGCCGCGGUAAUACGUAGGGCGCGAGCGUUGUCCGGAAUUAUUGGGCGUAAAGGGCUUGUAGGUGGCUGGUUGCGUCUGUCGUGAAAGCUCAUGGCUUAACUGUGGGUUUGCGGUGGGUACGGGCGGGCUUGAGUGCAGUAGGGGAGGCUGGAAUUCCUGGUGUAGCGGUGGAAUGCGCAGAUAUCAGGAGGAAUACCGGUGGCGAAGGCGGGUCUCUGGGCUGUUACUGACACUGAGGAGCGAAAGCAUGGGGAGCGAACAGG
RNAcentral lists this ribosomal RNA (419 nucleotides) under bacterium. RNAcentral's name for it is "partial 16S ribosomal RNA". It matches the Rfam family "Bacterial small subunit ribosomal RNA", at positions 355 to 776 of the family's 1533-position model. The record is from RNAcentral.